UGCGAUGAGGAUCACCUCUUCCCAUUCCGAACAGAGAAGUUAAGCUCAUCAGCGCAGAUGGUACUGGGUUAACCGGGAGAGUAUGUCGUCGCCAUUU
This 97-nucleotide ribosomal RNA is filed under the name Acidiluteibacter ferrifornacis. The record is from RNAcentral. Lineage: Bacteria; Pseudomonadati; Bacteroidota; Flavobacteriia; Flavobacteriales; Cryomorphaceae.